Molecule: non-coding RNA, 19 nt
Filed under: Mus musculus (house mouse)
Lineage: Eukaryota; Metazoa; Chordata; Mammalia; Rodentia; Muridae
Source: RNAcentral
UGAUUGCAUGAAGGUUCAG